RNAcentral lists this long non-coding RNA (937 nucleotides) under Zonotrichia albicollis (white-throated sparrow). RNAcentral's name for it is "lncRNA (ENSZALG00000001041.1)". The record is from RNAcentral. Lineage: Eukaryota; Metazoa; Chordata; Aves; Passeriformes; Passerellidae.
GCCCAACGUUGGAGAAGAACCCAUGGCUGAAGAGGAACCCAAUGUUGGACCCAACGUUGAACCCAACGGCGGCGUUGAACCCAACGUUGAUGAAGAACCCAAUGUUGGACCCAACUUUGACGAAGAACCCAACGUUGAGGAAGAACCCAAUGACGGCGUUGAACCCAACGUUGAAGGAGAACCCAAUGAGGAACCCAAUGGUGGGGCCAAGUUGGAUGAAGAACCCAACGUUGACCCCAUCGAUGGUGUUGAACCCAAUGUUGGACCCAACGUUGACCCCGUUGACCUUGACGUUGAUGAAGAACCCAACGUCGGCCCCAUUGACCUCUUUGAAGACGAAGAACCCAACGUUGGACCCAACGAGGAUGAAGAACCCAACGAUGACGAAGAACCCAACGAUGAUGAAGAACCCAACGUUGAUGAAGAACCCAACGUUGACCCCGACAACGGCGUUAAACCCAACGUUGAGUCCAUCGUUGGCCCCGUUGGCCUCUUUGAAGAUGAAGAACCCAACGUUGGACCCAACGACGACGAAGAAACCAAAACUGGACCCAACGAAGACGACGAACCCAACGUUGGAUCCAAUGAAGACGAAGAACCCAAAAUUGGCCCCAAUGAAGAUGAAGAACCCAAAGUUGGAUCCAACGAAGACGAAGAACCCAAGAUUGGACUCAAUGAUUGUGAAGAACCCAAUGAGGACCCCAAGUUUGGACCCAACGACGACGAAGCACCCAAAAUUGGACCCAACGAAGACGAACCCAAAAUUGGACCCAACGACGCUGACGAACCCAACGUUGACCCCAACGAAGACGAAGAACCCAAAAUUGGACCCAACGAUGAUGAUGACGAACCCAACGUUGACCCCAACGAAGAUGACGAACCCAAAACUGGCCCCGAUAAAGAUGAAGAACCCAAAAUCGGCCCCAACGAUGACAAC